GCAUUAAUGGGGUAGUGGUAACCUGGGUCGUUGCCAUGUCGCUGGUGGCUGCUAAGCUCGACCCGCCGGGGGUUCGAUUCCCUCUUAAUGCA
This is a non-coding RNA of Crucibulum laeve, 92 nucleotides long. NCBI's taxonomy places the organism in Eukaryota, Fungi, Basidiomycota, Agaricomycetes, Agaricales, Nidulariaceae. The record is from the annotation of a GenBank genome assembly.